RNAcentral lists this ribosomal RNA (597 nucleotides) under Triticum aestivum (bread wheat). RNAcentral's name for it is "partial small subunit ribosomal RNA". Lineage: Eukaryota; Viridiplantae; Streptophyta; Magnoliopsida; Poales; Poaceae. The record is from RNAcentral.
GAGGGCCGCAACGUGCUCGAAUUUCACCUCGAGACAGAGAGGUUUCUACUGACGGGGACACCAGAUGCUACACGGGGCGAGGACUUUGUUCUCGCGCCGGCUCAGGACGCGCGGCUGGGUUUGGCCGGUGUGAUCGACAACUUUUUCGUCGUGCUGUUCUCGAGGGACGAUGAUGGCGCCUGGGUUCACCGUAUCCUGCUUAGACUCAACGAUGCCUUUCCGUUCCAUGCUGAUGCCGAUGCCGAUGCUGAUGCUGAUGGGCUCUUCGGUAUUGACAUACCCACGUACUCUGAUGAUGAGGAUGGUCUUUCGGAUGAUGACGACGACGCAACAGAAGCAAAGGUGAUCGGGUUGUCGGAGCAGUUGGAUUCCAUUUUCUUGAAGGCGGAACCGGGAGUGUUCAUGAUCAGCUUAGAGUCCGGGCAGCAUCAACGUGUGCUUGAAACGGAUCAGCACUUCUCCCGUGUUUAUCCCUAUUGUACAUUCUAUACAGCAGCUCAUAAAGUUGUUUUUAAUGAUGUACAGCAAGACUCGGAGAGCAGCAAUAUUCAAUCAGGCGAAAUAAGCAAUAUUCCAAGUGACGGAGGUGAAAACUAG